CCUACGGGAGGCAGCAGUGGGGAAUAUUGGGCAAUGGGCGCAAGCCUGACCCAGCAAUGCCGCGUGAAGGAAGAAGGCUUUCGGGUUGUAAACUUCUUUGACAGGGGAAGAGCAGAAGACGGUACCCUGAAAACAAGCCACGGCUAACUACGUGCCAGCAGCCGCGGUAAUACGUAGGUGGCAAGCGUUGUCCGGAUUUACUGGGUGUAAAGGGCGUGUAGCCGGGAAGGCAAGUCAGAUGUGAAAUCUGGAGGCUCAACCUCCAAAUUGCAUUUGAAACUGUUUAGCUAGAGUACUGGAGAGGCAGACAGAAUGCCAUGUGUAGCGGUGAAAUGCGUAGAGAUGAGGAGGAACACCAGUGGCGAAGGCGGUCUGCUGGACAGCGACUGACGGUGAGGCGCGAAAGCGUGGGGAGCAAACAGGAUUAGAUACCCCGGUAGUC
This 442-nucleotide ribosomal RNA is filed under the name uncultured bacterium. RNAcentral describes it as "partial 16S ribosomal RNA". It matches the Rfam family "Bacterial small subunit ribosomal RNA", at positions 338 to 795 of the family's 1533-position model. The record is from RNAcentral.